ACAAUGAAGAGUUUGAUCCUGGCUCAGGAUGAACGCUAGCUACAGGCUUAACACAUGCAAGUCGAGGGGUAGCAGGAUCUAGCAAUAGAUUGCUGACGACCGGCGCACGGGUGAGUAACACGUAUCCAACCUUCCGUUUACUCGGGGAUAGCCUUUCGAAAGAAAGAUUAAUACCCGAUAGUAUGUUUUUCCCGCAUGGGAGAACCAUUAAAGUUUUUCGGUAAUCGAUGGGGAUGCGUUCCAUUAGGCAGUUGGUGAGGUAACGGCUCACCAAACCUUCGAUGGAUAGGGGUUCUGAGAGGAAGGUCCCCCACAUUGGAACUGAGACACGGUCCAAACUCCUACGGGAGGCAGCAGUGAGGAAUAUUGGUCAAUGGACGAGAGUCUGAACCAGCCAAGUAGCGUGAAGGAUGACUGCCCUAUGGGUUGUAAACUUCUUUUAUAUGGGAAUAAAGGAGCCUACGUGUAGGUUUUUGUAUGUACCAUACGAAUAAGGAUCGGCUAACUCCGUGCCAGCAGCCGCGGUAAUACGGAGGAUCCAAGCGUUAUC
Molecule: ribosomal RNA, 550 nt
Filed under: Bacteroides reticulotermitis
Lineage: Bacteria; Pseudomonadati; Bacteroidota; Bacteroidia; Bacteroidales; Bacteroidaceae
Description: bacterial SSU rRNA
Rfam family: Bacterial small subunit ribosomal RNA
Source: RNAcentral